Molecule: long non-coding RNA, 3029 nt
Organism: Mesocricetus auratus (golden hamster)
Lineage: Eukaryota; Metazoa; Chordata; Mammalia; Rodentia; Cricetidae
Exons: 2
Source: RefSeq, a predicted model, not a curated record
CGCCCAGGCCACGCCCCUGACACAGUCACGCCCAUAAACCCGCCCUUUCUCCGCCUCCCGCACGCAAGAUCCCCACCCCUUAUUCUCAAAACCCCGCCCUACUUUCCGGCUAAGGCGGUGAGUUGUCCCUGGUCCUGCCCCCUCUCCUGGCCCCUCCUACUUCCUUGCGGCCAGCUUCGGCCAACUUCGAACGCCCACCGCGGCCUCGCUGCAACCUGUCGCGUGAUGCCCUUCCCACAUCUUCCUUGGCCUCCUGACCUUCCCUGCUGCACUUGUUCCCCCACCGGGAGCCCCCCCUUCUCCAGCCCCACCCCGCCCACGACCUCCCUCCAGUAGAGUCACGCCUCUGAGCCUCCCCCUCUACGCCGCACUGAUUUUGCGCUUUGUCACCGCCCUGUGCAUCCCCUCCUGUUUCCCUUCUGUCUCCACCACACCAGCUUAUUUCUUCCUGAACCUUCCACCUAGGUUCUGCUGAGAACUUGCUUCCCAGAACUCUGCAAAAAGUGGUUACUUCUGGGGGCCGCUGUGCAGGAUGGGACGCCUCAGUUCCCUUGGCUGUACACCGGGGGAGGGGCCUGGGAAGUUGUUCCCUGACUUCUUAGCGCCUGUGCUGAGGAGGGAAGCCACACCACUGCCUACACAUCCCCACUGGCAGGCCAGGCUCUUGCCUGAAAUCCUUGCUGCUCCAACAAAGUAGUCACCAUCAGGGCUCCCCUACCCUGGGAAGCCUUCUGAGGAGUUUGGCCAAAGACUGUGUCUUUAGCGACUUCCCAAUCCCUUGUCCUGGACCCUGCACAGCUGCCUCCAAAGGAUCAAUGUCAAAUCAACUCAUCCCAAUUUCCCUGACCUCCAUCCCAGGACAGGUGCCAGAAUGUAUUUGCUGAAUAAACAGGCGGAUGUUAAUUGGAUUUUCUCAUUAGUAAUACUCAUUGUCCGCAUGGGGACUCCUCCCAGCGGCAGGUAGAGGAUGUCUUACACUGGACGAGCAUGCCACAGCUUCCCCGCUUUUCUUAAUAUGGACUAAGUGAUCAGCACCCAGACCAAGACACAGUUGAGAAGCAGGUUGAGUACGUGUGUGGUCAGGUCAUGUCUUUCAAGUGGAGAGCAAGCUGGCUGGAUGGUGCACACCUAUUGAUCCAAGCUGUCAGGCUGGGAGGGCCGUGGACCAGUGAGAUAGCUCGUCGGAUUAAUGAGCCUGCCACCGAGCCUGACCGUCUGAGUUCAAUACUCCAGAUCUACUUGAUGGAGGGAGAGAACCAGCUCUGACUAGUUUUCCUCUGACCUCCACAUGUGUGUUGUGGUAUACAUGCCCACACACAUGAACAUAUGCAAACAAAAGGAUUGGCUGGACUGUCAGCAUGGGCCUGUAAGACUAAAAAAAGCUGCCAGAAAGACUUGAUAAUGAUAAAUGCCUUGUUAGUCCUGUGGGGCUCGGCUGGAUCCUAACCCCCUAUAGAGCCAUAGAUAAUAAGUGUGUCUUCUUAGUUGUGUUUAAUAUUAAUUCGUUGUGGCAGAAAAAAAAACUUAAGCUAUAAAUAACCCGGAUUCGCCUUUGUCUGGCCAGUCUGCUGGUUUUCUAUAGUUCUGCUCUUCCAGAACACACGGAAGGGAACCCAGUGGCUCCCAACUGCAGCACUUCAUUCCAUGAAGUUCCUCAGGCCCUGGAACAGUGAAGCCAAGUUUAGCACAACUGGAAACCAACUACGAGUCAUUCUCUUUAAUGGGUCAGUUGCUUGAUUUUUCAUGUUACGGCCUGCCUAGUACGAGCAGGUGGUGUCUGUGGGUCCAUUUUUAGCUUUACCUAUUUGGGGAUAACCUUACUCUAAGAGCUAGUCAGGACGAAUGCCCGUGGACUCCUUACCUCGUGCUUUAAGUGACCGGAAGCCUAGAGACCUGCUAGAGAAGAUGCUAGUUCAUUAGAGUCCCAUGCCACCAGCUGUCUCCAUCAGCUGUGUCUACUGCCUAUCCAGUGCAGUGAGAGACUGGAUAGUCCCCACUGCCCCUAACCUUACUGUCCUGUCGGUCUAUGAUUGGAUCUCCAAUGGGAAACAGACGGCAAUCAGUCAAUGCUCAGGGUAGGCAGAUUACAACCAUCCCACCAAGGAACAAGUUCAAGGGUUCUUCUGUCCUCCCCUGAAAACCUGCUAAAGGCAACAGCUUGCUGGGCGGUGGCAGUGCACACUUGCAGCUUCCUGGCCUGAUGUUCUUAUGGCCCAGGGUUCUCCCACUUGCUCAGAACCUGUUCCUUGCUUUUGAACCUGAUCCUCAUGCCUUCAUCUCCUGGUGCUGAGAUCACAGGUGUACACUACCACACAGGGCUCCCCAGCCUCUGUUUCACCUGGGAAGUUAAAUGCAGCCAUCCCCAGGACUAGACUGCAAGGGCGCUUGUUAUGGAAUAUUAUUUUAACUAGGCAAAGAUGUAUUACAUUAGUUUAUGCUGCAGAAUAUUGCUUUAACUGUGUAAAGGCGUGUUACUUUUUUAUGCUUCAUUUGUGUAAUGAUGUAAAGAUGUGUGUUCAGUUAUGUAAAGAAAAGUUGCACCUGUUUCAUCUUGCAUGCCUAAGACACCUGAUUGGUCUGAUAAAAAGCUGAAUGGCCAAUAGCUAAGCUGAGAAAGGAUAGGUGGAGCUAGCAGGCAGAGAGAAUGAAUAGGAGAAUAAAUCUAGGCUCAGAAAGGAAGGAAGGAACUAGAGAGGAGGAGGAGAGAUGCCGCCAUAGAGAAGCCGUGAAAGAAAGAUCUACAGAAGAAAGGUAAUAAGCCCCCGUGGGGCAAACGGUAGAUAAACAUAAACAGGACAAUAUAAAGUUAAAAGAGCUAACCAGAAGCAUGCCUAGGCCAGGCCAAGCACUCAAAACUGGUAACAAGUCUCUGUGUCAUGACUGAUUGGUGACCCAAAUGAAAAAGCCUGGUACAGGCCCCUCCUUUUGUCAUCCUGCUGCAAGUGAAACGGCCCACUGUUAAGUUCCUCUUAACUCCCUUCUCUCUUCUGCCCUUUUUCUAAUGUCAUGAAAUAAAGGCAUUUUGUGUA